UAGCCGUAAACGAUACUCGCUAGGUGUCGGCCACGGUGCGACCGUUGUCGGUGCCGUAGGGAAGCCGUGAAGCGAGCCACCUGGGAAGUACGGCCGCAAGGCUGAAGCUUAAAGGAAUUGGCGGGGGAGCACAACAACGGGUGGAGCUUGCGGUUUAAUUUGGAUUCAACGCCGGAAAUCUUACCGGGACCGACAGCAACAUGAAGGCCAAGCUGAAGACUUUGCCGGAUUAGCUGAGAGGAGGUGCAUGGCGUAGUCGUGU
Molecule: ribosomal RNA, 262 nt
Filed under: uncultured archaeon
Lineage: Archaea
Description: partial 16S ribosomal RNA
Rfam family: Archaeal small subunit ribosomal RNA
Source: RNAcentral